This 76-nucleotide transfer RNA is filed under the name Bacillus cereus. Its description in RNAcentral is "tRNA-Lys". It matches the Rfam family "tRNA". Rfam says of the family: Transfer RNA (tRNA) molecules are approximately 80 nucleotides in length. Their secondary structure includes four short double-helical elements and three loops (D, anti-codon, and T loops). Further hydrogen bonds mediate the characteristic L-shaped molecular structure. tRNAs have two regions of fundamental functional importance: the anti-codon, which is responsible for specific mRNA codon recognition, and the 3' end, to which the tRNAs corresponding amino acid is attached (by aminoacyl-tRNA synthetases). tRNAs cope with the degeneracy of the genetic code in two manners: having more than one tRNA (with a specific anti-codon) for a particular amino acid; and 'wobble' base-pairing, i.e. permitting non-standard base-pairing at the 3rd anti-codon position. Lineage: Bacteria; Bacillati; Bacillota; Bacilli; Caryophanales; Bacillaceae. The record is from RNAcentral.
GAGCCAUUAGCUCAGUUGGUAGAGCAUCUGACUUUUAAUCAGAGGGUCGAAGGUUUGAGCCCUUCAUGGCUCACCA